This 460-nucleotide ribosomal RNA is filed under the name uncultured bacterium. Its description in RNAcentral is "SSU rRNA". It matches the Rfam family "Bacterial small subunit ribosomal RNA", at positions 26 to 518 of the family's 1533-position model. The record is from RNAcentral.
AGAAUCAACGCUGGCGGCGUGCCUAACACAUGCAAGUCGAACGAGAAAGUGGAGCAAUCCAUGAGUAAAGUGGCGCACGGGUGAGUAACACGUGACUAACCUACCCUUGAGUGGGGGAUAACCUAGGGAAACCUGGGCUAAUACCGCAUAAUACCUUCGGGUCAAAGGAGCAAUUCGCUUUAGGAGGGGGUCGCGGCCGAUUAGUUAGUUGGCGGGGUAAUGGCCCACCAAGACGAUGAUCGGUAUCCGGCCUGAGAGGGCGCACGGACACACUGGAACUGAAACACGGUCCAGACUCCUACGGGAGGCAGCAGUGGGGAAUUUUGCGCAAUGGGGGAAACCCUGACGCAGCAACGCCGCGUGGAGGAUGAAGUCCCUUGGGACGUAAACUCCUUUCGAUCGGGACGAUUAUGACGGUACCGGAAGAAGAAGCCCCGGCUAACUUCGCGCCAGCAGCCGC